GGGGUAAAAUUAAUGAUUUAAUAAUUAAUAAAAGAAAUUUUAAUAUUAAAAUAUAUUUAAUGGGGGUUAAAGUAUUUUUAAUUGAAAAAAUUUGAAAUUUUAUAGUUUAUUAGUAUUGUGAAAGAAUUUUGAAAUAAAAUUUGAAAAUAAAAUAAUUUAAAAGUAAAUUUAAUUUAUUGUAUCUUGUGUAUCAGAGUUUAUUAAAAAAUUUUUAUUAUUUUAAAUUUCUCGAAUUUAAAAGGGUUAAUUAAUUAAUAAAUUUAUUGUUUUAUAAAUAUUUUAAAUAAUUAAUUAGAAAUGAAAUGUUAUUCGUUUUUAAAUAUAUCUAGUUAUUUUAGAAAAAAAUUUAAUUUUUAAUUAAAUUUUAAAAUUAAUUUAUUGUUUAAUUAAUUUUAAAAUUUAAUUUAAUAUUUUAAGGGAUAAGCUUUAAUUUAAAAUUUUAUAAUUAAAAAUAAAUUAUUUGAAAAUUUUAUAAUUUAUAUUGUUAAUAAAUUUUAAUUUAUUAUAAAUAAUUUCAUAAAUAAUAAAAUUUAAUUAAAAAUUUAAAUUUUUAUAAAAAAAUUUUUUAUAAUAAAAAAAAAUUAUUAAUAAUGAUAAAAUUAGUAUAUAAAUAUUUAAUUUAUUUAAUAUAUUAAUUUUUGGGAAUUAUUUUAAAGGAAUUCGACAAAUAUAUAUAUUCACCUGUUUAUCAAAAACAUGUCUUUUUGAUUAAUAAUUAAAAGUCUAAUCUGCCCACUGAUAAUAAUAUUAAAGGGCUGCAGUAUAUUGACUGUACAAAGGUAGCAUAAUCAAUAGUCUCUUAAUUAGUGACUUGUAUGAAAGAUUGGAUGAAAUAUAAAUUGUCUCUAUAAUAUUUAUUGAAUUUAAUUUUUUAAUUAAAAAGUUAAAAUUUUUUAAAAAGACGAGAAGACCCUAUAGAGUUUUAUAUUUAUUUGAUUUUUAAAAUUUUAAUGAAUUGUUUAUUUUAAAAUAGAUUAAAUAUUUUAUUGGGGUGAUAAAAAAAUAAGAAUAACUUUUUUUUAAAUUAAACAUAAAUAAAUGAAUUUUUGAUCCAAUAUUAUUGAUUAUAAGAAAAAAUUACCUUAGGGAUAACAGCGUAAUUUUUUUUUUUAGUUCGUAUAAAAAAAAAAGUUUGCGACCUCGAUGUUGGAUUAAGAUAAAAUUUAAAUGCAAAAGUUUAAAAUUUUGAUCUGUUCGAUCAUUAAAAUCUUACAUGAUCUGAGUUCAAACCGGUGUAAGCCAGGUUGGUUUCUAUCUUUUAAAAUAUUUUAUAUUUUAGUACGAAAGGACCAAAUAUUAUAAUUAAAUUAAUUAAUUGGAAUAUUAUUAAUUAUAUAAAUAAAUUUG
RNAcentral lists this ribosomal RNA (1347 nucleotides) under Acosmeryx castanea. RNAcentral's name for it is "16S ribosomal RNA". The record is from RNAcentral. Lineage: Eukaryota; Metazoa; Arthropoda; Insecta; Lepidoptera; Sphingidae.